AACCACUUCGGUGGGGAUUAGUGGCGAACGGGUGAGUAACACGUGGGCAAUCUGCCCUUCACUCUGGGACAAGCCCUGGAAACGGGGUCUAAUACCGGAUAUCACUCCUGCAGGCAUCUGCGGGGGUCGAAAGCUCCGGCGGUGAAGGAUGAGCCCGCGGCCUAUCAGCUUGUUGGUGAGGUAAUGGCUCACCAAGGCGACGACGGGUAGCCGGCCUGAGAGGGCGACCGGCCACACUGGGACUGAGACACGGCCCAGACUCCUACGGGAGGCAGCAGUGGGGAAUAUUGCACAAUGGGCGAAAGCCUGAUGCAGCGACGCCGCGUGAGGGAUGACGGCCUUCGGGUUGUAAACCUCUUUCAGCAGGGAAGAAGCGAAAGUGACGGUACCUGCAGAAGAAGCGCCGGCUAACUACGUGCCAGCAGCCGCGGUAAUACGUAGGGCGCAAGCGUUGUCCGGAAUUAUUGGGCGUAAAGAGCUCGUAGGCGGCUUGUCACGUCGGGUGUGAAAGCCCGGGGCUUAACCCCGGGUCUGCAUUC
Molecule: ribosomal RNA, 539 nt
Filed under: Streptomyces sp. C1(2006)
Lineage: Bacteria; Bacillati; Actinomycetota; Actinomycetes; Kitasatosporales; Streptomycetaceae
Description: bacterial SSU rRNA
Rfam family: Bacterial small subunit ribosomal RNA
Source: RNAcentral